GAUGAACGCUGGCGGCGUGCCUAAUACAUGCAAGUCGAGCGAACGGGCGAGAAGCUUGCUUCUCUGAUGUUAGCGGCGGACGGGUGAGUAACACGUGGAUAACCUACCUAUAAGACUGGGAUAACUUCGGGAAACCGGAGCUAAUACCGGAUAAUAUUUUGAACCGCAUGGUUCAAAAGUGAAAGACGGUCUUGCUGUCACUUAUAGAUGGAUCCGCGCUGCAUUAGCUAGUUGGUAAGGUAACGGCUUACCAAGGCAACGAUGCAUAGCCGACCUGAGAGGGUGAUCGGCCACACUGGAACUGAGACACGGUCCAGACUCCUACGGGAGGCAGCAGUAGGGAAUCUUCCGCAAUGGGCGAAAGCCUGACGGAGCAACGCCGCGUGAGUGAUGAAGGUCUCCGGAUCGUAAAACUCUGUUAUUAGGGAAGAACAUAUGUGUAAGUAACUGUGCACAUCUUGACGGUACCUAAUCAGAAAGCCACGGCUAACUACGUG
Molecule: ribosomal RNA, 497 nt
Filed under: uncultured bacterium
Lineage: Bacteria
Description: partial 16S ribosomal RNA
Rfam family: Bacterial small subunit ribosomal RNA
Source: RNAcentral